GUUUACUAACCUGCUUCCAAAAUUUCAUUGAUAUUUCUUGUCAGCUGUGACGUCCUCACCAGUUCUCUGUGGGUCUGCUGAAUAGUUUUGCCUUUUUUUUUUGGCUGUUAUUUUAGUGUCAUUAGUCAGAAUCAAGCAUGUAUUCAACUGGCUCUUCCUCUAUCUUACUUUUAAGCCACCACCAUCUCUCACCUGGCAAUAAAUAUCUUUUGGAAUGAUGAAUGAAUGACCUUUGACACACAGAGCCAUGAGGGAAGGAGACGUGAUGCUGCUCAACCUCAUUGAAAUGCAUCUUCAUCUUGUUGUUCCUGUAACAUCUCUUAAAGUUUCAGACAUAGAUGCUGAAUUAUUGCUUUAAGCAACUUUCAGGGUGUAAUUAAAGUACAAGGUCUGACUGCCAGGACUCGAGAUAAAUUUCAGUGUCUCAGAGGCAGUGAGAUGUGGCUUUGAAUUCAGGGGCUGAAACGAUUCUCCCAGAAGUGGUAUAUGAGGCCACAAAAGAGCUCCAUUCAGGAAGGAAAGGAUGGACAAAGAUGGAAGCCAAAGCGUGGCGUGUUAGUUAUUCUUCGUAUGCAGAUCUGAAUCCAAGAAAACCUAGACAGGAAUGUCUUUUCCCCACAAAUAUGCAAUUCACCAAAGAAAAAACAAAGAAGCAGAAGAAGUAUAUAUUAGAUUAUCUCAAAGUAAAUAGGCAGACAUUGUUGCCCCUGGAUGUAAGUAGUCGGUCACUUCUGAGUGCCUGACGUGGCAUUGUCUCUCAGGAGCACGGAGCGCUGAACAUCCUUUGCGAAACAUUCUCCCAAGGAAGGACUCGGAGGGCUGGUUCACUUUCACUGAUGUCUGCUGAAGCCAUGGCUCUUUAUUUCAAAGUCUGGUUCUGAAUUUUCUGACUGAAACCCUGUUUCCAUAGUCCUUUCUAUUUUUCGUAUUAAUUUUUUGUGUCAAAUAUAAAAUGUAUUUUCAUUUUAGAAAUGAAUAAGGAACGGCUGGGCGCGGUGGCUCACGCCUGUAAUCCUAGCACUUUGGGAGGCCGAAAUGGGGUAGAUCACCUGAGGUUAGGAGUUUGAGACCAGCCUGGCCAACAUGGUGAAACCCUGUCUCUACUAAAAAUACAAAAAUUAGCCGGGCAUGGUGGCAUGCGCCUAUAAUCCCAGCUACUUGGGAGGCUGAGGCAGGAGAAUUGCUUGAACCUGGGGGACAGAGGUUGCAGCAAGCCGAGAUCAUGCCACUUCACUCCAGCCUGGGUGAAAGAGAGAAAUUCUGUCAAAAAAGAAAAAAAGAAAAGAAAAGAAAAGAAAAGAAUAAGGAAAACACAAUUUUCUUCAUACCAAAAUAAUUAACAUUUUGGUAUAUUUCUUUGUAGUUUUUCCCAUGUAUGUGUAUUUAAUGCAGUUAUUCUUAUGUAAAAUAUAUGUCAAUUUCCUUUUACAUAUUAUCAGUUUGGUGCAAAAGUAAUUCCAGUUUUUGUCAUUACUUGCAAUAGCAAAAAGUGCAAUUACUUUUGCGUCAACGUAAUACAUCCUUUGUAUUUCCCCAUGUCAAAUACUCUUGAAAAAUAUUAUGGUGGAAUAACCUGUCUGAAGUACGUAACAUAAUUUAUUUAAACUCUUCCUUAUUUUGAGAAUUUAAGUAACUAACAGUUUUUGUUAAUAUAAAUAAUGCUAUAAUGAACAUCUUUGCAUAUAUAUCACUGUGCUCUUAUCAGAUUUUAAGGACUUUCUUAAAAAGUAUUUAUAUCAAGAAUAAACUAUAGUUUUUUUGAGGCCUUUAAUACAUAUUAUCAAAAACUUUUAAAAAUGUAUAAAUAUAUAUUUCUACCAGCAGUACAUAAAAUGUCCAUCUUUCUGCACCUCCACUAUCCAUCGGUUAGCAUGAAGUUAUAGAAAUUCUAAAUCUAAGUUCCCCUAGACAUGACAUCUAGGGGUCUAAGACCCUAAAAUGGUGUGCCAAAUUUUAUGUAGAUGUACAUUUUUUGGAGGAGAGGGUUCUUGACAGAAUGUUUAAGCAUUGAAUUAUUCUUGUGUUUUUGUUUAAUUUUUCAUGUCUUAGAUAACAAAUGAAGUUGAACAUUUCUUCAUACAUUUGUUGUUCAUUUGUCUUUUUACUUCUGAGAAUCAUCUCAAGUUCUUGCUUGAGUUCCACUGGAGUAUUUGUCUCUGUCUUUUGGAUUUGCAAGAGCCUCUUAGAAAUAAAAGAUGUUGAUCCGUUGUUUGCCAUAUUUGUGUGGCAAUUAUUUUCCUAGCUUGGUGGUUUUUGAUAGAGAGAGAUUUAAAAUACUAUAGAAUCAGUGUUAGUGAAUGUUUCUUUUGUUUUCUCAUCCAUCAUUUCUAUGUUUAGGAAGGCUUCUCCCAAUUAGAGAUUGAUACAGUAUAUGUUUGUAAUUUAUUCUAGUGCUUUAUGGUUUGCCAAGUAUUUAAUCCAUCUAGAAUUUAAUGUAUUAUUCACUCACUUAUUCAUUUCUUCUUCUAACAAACAUUUAUUGUGCCCUUAUGUGUCAGGCAUUUAACGUGAAGUGGGAAUUCAACUUGAUAGUUUCCUCAACUGCCUUAGGUAUUUUUCUUCAUUAUCAUUUGUUGCACUGGUGAUUGCUUCCUUUAUUAUAUUUUAUUAAAUUAUAUUAAAUUCAUUAAUAUUAAAAUAUACUAUUAGUAUGUUUAUCUCAUUAAUAUAUCUACUUACAAAUUUUAAUUAAAUAUCAAAUUUUAUCGUUACACAAAAUGGAUAUAUUUGACAGUAAAUAAAUUUAAAAAUUAUUACAUAUAUGGUAUUUUCAGUGCAGUUUCUUGUAUUUCAUUAAUCUUUCUUUGAUUCAUGCACCAAUUCCACACACUUCCAAUGAUUGCAACUUCAGGAUUUAUUUUAAUAUUUGCUUC
Long non-coding RNA from Macaca fascicularis (crab-eating macaque), 2873 nucleotides. The record is from Ensembl. Lineage: Eukaryota; Metazoa; Chordata; Mammalia; Primates; Cercopithecidae.